CCUACGGGUGGCAGCAGUGGGGAAUAUUGCACAAUGGGGGGAACCCUGAUGCAGCGACGCCGCGUGAGUGAAGAAGCGAUUCGGCGCGUAAAGCCCUAUCGGCAGGGAAGAAGAUGACGGUACCUGACCAAGAAGCCCCGGCUAAAUACGUGCCAGCAGCCGCGGUAAUACGUAGGGGGCAAGCGUUAUCCGGAUUUACUGGGUGUAAAGGGGGCGCAGACGGCAAGGCAAGGCAGGAGUGAAAGCCCGGGGCCCAACCCCCGGACUGCUGUUGGAACUGUAUCGCUUGAGUACAGGAGGGGGAGGCGGAAUUCCGAGGGUAGCGGUGAAAUGCGUAGAGAUUAGGAGGAACACCGGUGGCGAAGGCGGCCUGCCGG
Molecule: ribosomal RNA, 377 nt
Filed under: uncultured bacterium
Lineage: Bacteria
Description: partial 16S ribosomal RNA
Rfam family: Bacterial small subunit ribosomal RNA
Source: RNAcentral